Molecule: ribosomal RNA, 29 nt
Filed under: Ceratobasidium cereale
Lineage: Eukaryota; Fungi; Basidiomycota; Agaricomycetes; Cantharellales; Ceratobasidiaceae
Also listed under: 1 other name
Description: partial 18S ribosomal RNA
Source: RNAcentral
UCCGUAGGUGAACCUGCGGAAGAUCAUUA